UACGGAGGGAGCUAGCGUUGUUCGGAUAUACUGGGCGUAAAGCGCACGUAGGCGGCGCCGUAAGUCAGGGGUGAAAUCCCGGAGCUCAACUCCGGAACUGCCCUUGAAACUGCAGUGCUAGAAUCCUGGAGAGGCGAGUGGAAUUCCGGGUGUAGCGGUGAAAUGCGUAGAUAUCCGGAGGAACACCGGUGGCGAAGGCGGCUUCCUGGACCGACACUGACGCUGAGGCGCGAAAGCUAGGGGAGCAAACGGG
RNAcentral lists this ribosomal RNA (253 nucleotides) under uncultured bacterium. RNAcentral's name for it is "partial 16S ribosomal RNA". It matches the Rfam family "Bacterial small subunit ribosomal RNA", at positions 524 to 776 of the family's 1533-position model. The record is from RNAcentral.